RNAcentral lists this transfer RNA (71 nucleotides) under Loxodonta africana (African savanna elephant). It matches the Rfam family "tRNA". From Rfam's summary of the family: Transfer RNA (tRNA) molecules are approximately 80 nucleotides in length. The record is from Rfam by way of RNAcentral. Lineage: Eukaryota; Metazoa; Chordata; Mammalia; Proboscidea; Elephantidae.
GCAGUGGUGGUAAAGUGGUAGAAUUCUUGCCUUUUGUGUGGGAGGCUCAGGUUUGAUUCCUGGCCAAUGCA